This is a long non-coding RNA of Oxyura jamaicensis (ruddy duck), 387 nucleotides long. RefSeq lists it as uncharacterized. The record is from RefSeq and is a predicted model, not a curated record. The transcript has 3 exons. NCBI's taxonomy places the organism in Eukaryota, Metazoa, Chordata, Aves, Anseriformes, Anatidae.
CAUUGUCUUUGUCUUGCCUUUAGGAUGGUGAAUACUUUUUACAGUGUUGUUCUCCACUUUUUUAAAACUGCAGGAGGUACAGGAAGAAGACACAAACAUUUUAAGAGCUGGAGAAAAAGCUUUAUAGUGGGAGAUUUAAAUAGCUCAAUCUGUUUAUCUUAUCAAAAGAAGAUUGAUAGCAUAGAAGCAUGGUGGAAACUAAUGCUGGAAUCUUAAACCAGAUAAAUCAAGUUGGAUUGAGGCACAGAUUCUGACUGGUGCAGAAUUGGAAUUUGUUGCAUCUGGCACAUGUAGCUGAGUGCUCUUGACCUGAAAUGGUUCCCUUCAGUAUUCAUGGCAUCUUCCACUUCAUAUAUGAACAUUUUAUUAGCAGUCUUCAAAGAGAUG